This 252-nucleotide ribosomal RNA is filed under the name uncultured bacterium. RNAcentral's name for it is "partial 16S ribosomal RNA". It matches the Rfam family "Bacterial small subunit ribosomal RNA", at positions 524 to 776 of the family's 1533-position model. The record is from RNAcentral.
UACGGAGGAUGCGAGCGUUAUCCGGAUUUAUUGGGUUUAAAGGGUGCGUAGGCGGACGCUUAAGUCAGCGGUAAAAUUGCGGGGCUCAACCUCGUCGAGCCGUUGAAACUGGGUGCCUUGAGUGGGCGAGAAGUACGCGGAAUGCGUGGUGUAGCGGUGAAAUGCAUAGAUAUCACGCAGAACUCCGAUUGCGAAGGCAGCGUACCGGCGCCCAACUGACGCUGAAGCACGAAGGCGCGGGUAUCGAACAGG